GCAGGAGGCAGAGGCCUCCCAUCCCUCAUCCCGUCCACCCCGCCUAUGGCAGCAUCUAAGUGGGGUGGGGGUGGGGGGAGGCCACAAAGCCUUGUUUGAAAACCACCGCUUUAAACACUUGUGUUCCCUCCUGCUCCCCAAGCAUCCAGGGGCCAGGCUCCUGGAGGCGCUUGAAAUCUGAUUGUUAAAGAAAUAGACGAAUGGAUGUCUCUGUCCCCUCACUUAUGUGCUGUGAGGUUUUGUGCUCAGUUCUCAUCCGGGCCUGGGCUGGGGCAAGACUCUCCCGUGUGUCUGCUCUAGGUGUGCCUAGUGAUCCUGGAGCUGUCCAAUGUCCCCAGGUGGGAAGGGCCAGAGCCAAAGACAUCAGCAGGGGCUGCGGAAGUAGCAAGCGAAGUGGGGACGCGUGUGCAGAGAUGCGCCCGGUCAGCGCACGCAAUCUGCCAACAGCCCGGACCCCGAUGAAUCGCGAAGGCAGAGCCUGAAGCGUCACAAAGCACCGGAGGAACUCUCCACCCAUCCCCCUUCCUCCUCCGCGAGGCAGGGGCCCCGGAUUCUAGCCCCGGCUCUACCAUUUACUGCCACGGACCCUUGGGCAAGUCACUUCCCUUCUCUGGGCCUUAGUUUCCUCCCUUGUAAAAGUGAGCGAGUAGGACUAAUGGAACGCCCCAGGCCCCAGGGUGCUGAGCCGUGCUCCCACGGCGGGACAGGAACUGGGGACAAGGCUCAGAGUUGGUUGGCAGGGUGGAAGGGGAGGCUACAGAGAAAGGGCGAGACAUAAUCCUUGCCCCGGAAAAGGUUCAUCAGGAAGGUAUAGAAGAGAAGGAUGGUGACAGAGAGCCUGGCCCAUCCUGCAGGGUCCCCUCUUGUGCCCUUGGUUGCACAGCUGGGCUCUUGGUUUAGAUUUUCUCCCGGGGCUAGGCAAAACGUCAACUCCCUUUGUCCCCAUGCUCAUCAUCCUUUGUCACCUUGCCCAUAGGGCCUGUGGUCCUACCUCUCCCUGAGAAUGAACUUCCCCCCACCACACGCAUUCUUUUCUCGUCCAGAUCUCCCUGCACUUUCAUAAUCCUCCUCCUCCUGGAAGUCCUCCCUGACCUCCACUUCCAUGUCACUCCCCGCUGGCCUGGGUGCAAAGUCCCCUGAGCUGACGGCUGUCAAGCUGCCAUCAUCCUUUCAGUUAGAAACGUUUUUGAGGACAGGGACCCUGUCUUUUUGUCCUGGAAUGUCCACUCCCUGGCUCACAGCAGGGCCCUGUGGAAGGAAGGACCCAGACGGGAGCACACAGCUUGGGGCUGGGGGCGAGUGGCCUUGUGUGCGCUCGGCCAAGCAAACGCUCCAGACCGUCAAACUCGCCCGCAAGCACACACGCAUCCAGACAGCCCGGCGCGGACACACGCACCCGCGAGCCAGCGCCCUCUCUCACGCUGCAAACCCCCACAUGAGGUGGGGGGUGGGAUGUGGGGGAGGAGGCGGAGGGGGCUGCCCUCCAGAUGUUGUUGGAAAUCCAACACGUCCCCUCCCCCCCUCCCUCUCCCACUUCCCGUUCCAUUUCCCCUAAAUAUUUACUGAUUUUUAUUUACAUUCUUUGCCCGAGGUGCCCGGCCCCUGUCAGGUCCCAUUUGCUGGGCCUGCUUCCCUCCUGCCAGCUCCCCCCCCUCCUCCCUCAAAUCCGGAGCCGGGAGUCGUGUGUGGUUGGGACUUCUGGAAAGGACUGAUGGAUGCCAGAUGCCAGGAGCCCUGGCACCCAGGGAGGACUCUGAAGAGAGAGGAGGGAGCGCUGGGUCAGACGUCACAGGGCGUGGGGCAGGCGUGCUGGGCGACUACUCCCGAGCUGACCAACCACUCUGGGCCGCCUUACCGCCAGCCAGCGGAUCAAGGUGCUUGAAGAAGUGACUUCCCGCUCUGUUCUCAGGCUCCCCGCCCCCUUGGACCCUGCCCUCCUCUUAGCCAUUUCAUCCAUCAGUAUGGGGCACCUACUAUGUGCCAGGCACUGUCCCAGGUGCUGAUGAGACAGCAGCAGACUGUCGUCCCUUGUCCCUUAUUCUUGCCCUGUGGAGUCCGCUGUUCUCGGGAGAGAAUGAGUGGGCUGUAAGUGCCCCGGGGAGGAAGAAGCAAGCUGUUAGCCUCCUUGGCUUUGGAAGAUCCGCUUGGCUCCCUGCUCCUCCCCUCAGCCCCAGGGGGGCCCAUAGUGAACACCUGCUUGGUUACUGGUGCAGGUCUGCCGCGCCUUCGGUUCAUAUACUGGCAUUUGGAGAGAGGCUGCGUUGUUCCGGUCUUCCCUGAGCACUGCUCCACUCAAAAGAGCCCCCGCGAGGGACCAGCCUUGGCCCGCAAGGUACAGAAGUUCAAGUGCAGGAAGGAUUUCCUGGGCCGUGAAGGGGGACAGCUGAGCAGCUGGAAUUCGGGGAAUCAGUUCAUGUGCACCCUGCUGUAUGAAAGGUCCAUGGCUGAGGGCCUGGCGGGGGAGGGUCAGGGUCUCAGAGAGGACGAAGGACCACAGUGACAGGCCGGCAAACAAAGGCUGUCAGCUCCAUGCAGCUGGCCUGGACGUUUGCACCGCACCGGGAACACAGCACCUGGCCCAGAGGAGGCCUUCAGUGAAUUCCUGCCGAGAGAAGAGAAUCUUGGUUUCCCGGCUCAGCUUCCCAUUUGCUUUUCCUGAACCUGCAGUUCCCUAUCUACCAGAUGGAGUAGUAACCCCAGUACUUUCUGUCUUGUCACAUUGUCACGGGGAACAAACGGAACAACGAUGGCAAAAGCGUUCUGCGAACACGAUACACAGGCUGCAGCCCAGCACCGUGCCGGGCCUGCGGUGGUGGUGGCUCGGUAUUGAAUAAAUGAGCAAAUGACUCGAUCUCCACCAGAUGUGAGCUCCACGUAGGCAGAGACCUGGCUUGUUUUUCCUUGGCAUUAUUUCCCCAGUGCCCGGCACACCGUAGGUGCCCAAUAAAUAUUUGGAUCGAAUGAAUGAAUGAAUGAAUGAUACGACUUAACCCUACCCUGGGAAACUUCUAGAACUUUGGAGGUGAUGGGACAAACCACAGGGCCAUGAACCCAAAUGGCUUUGGAGGCAUCAAGAUCUCGGUCUGAACGCUGACUUCACCAACAAGGUUGAAAGCGGCUGUUAUUUCCCCAUUUUACGCAGGAGGAAACAGGCUCAGAGAGGUUGUGUGACUUACCCAAGGCCCCACAGCUCCCAGUAAGUGAGGGGAUCAGGAUGGGGGCCCAGGAUUCUGCCUCCAAAGCCUGUGCUUUUUCCUACCAUAGAAGGUUCUUGCUGUAGCUGGUCCGUUGGGACAAUGGCCUCUAUGACUGUCUACUUGACAAGCUGGAAUAUUCUGUUGGGGGAAGCUCUCCUAAUCGCAUACCAUCUCAGAGACCCCCCCAGUUGGGGACUGCCGGGACCAAUGAGAGGCCAAGAUCUAUUCAGGGUGUACCAGGUCCAGAAAUGCACACACUUUGCCCAUGACAUCCGUGUUCAGAUGCGGAGACAACAUAUGGAGGGGAGCUACUGGAGGGCUCUCCCGGCCCAGGGUCUCUGUCAUACCCCCUCAAAGCCACACCUCCUCUCUGGCACCCUGGGCCAGUGCUGCUCCCUGAAUGCUCCCUAAGCGCUUCCUUCGGCAGGGCCGGGUCGUGUCACAGCUGCCCUUCCCCUCCCUGAAUGGACUUGGGGCUUUACCAUUCAGUUCCCUGCUUCCCCAGGUAUGUUUCAUUGAACUGUAUUUUGGCUGUUGAUAGGUAUUUCUUGCAAAAAAGAUGGUGUGUGACGGCGUAAGUUUGGGAAGCUGUAAACAAGCUGGAACCUUGCAGGACUUCUCAGGGCCUUUAUUGUGCUUAUGUUGGACUGUGAAUCUCCGAGGGGUGGGGAGUUCCAACAAAGAGCAUUUUCCCAAGCGUGCUAGCCCCCAAACUCUUUCUUCAGGAGCAUCUCGUGGGAUUGGUGUGCUCCCGGGCACACUUUGGGGAUUAUUGCUGUGGCUGUGAAGAGUCCUUGAAGGCAUUUAAGCAGAGUUAGAGGAUCCGACUGGUGUUUCUCGGAAGACCACUGGGUGGACCGCGGGAGCCAAGACAGGGGCUGAGGAAGCCCUUAGGAGGCUGAACUGACAGUCUUCGAAAGAGGAGCCUCGUCCGUGUCCGCCUGCUGUGCCAAACUUAGGUCUCUGUCCCCAGUGAGCUCGCAGUCGGGGUGAUGUAGGAGAGGCCAAGGUCCUACCAGGAAUUCUCCUCCGGGGCAGAAGAUGCUAAGUGCUAUAAGCACCUCCGAUCCAAGAAGACUUCCUGGUGACUUCCUCAAUUGGCAGCCCAGAGCUCUGGCCAUGCUCCUCUCCUGUUUCUUUUCAAGAAUCAGUGAAUUAUUUGAGAUGA
Long non-coding RNA from Felis catus (domestic cat), 4365 nucleotides. RefSeq lists it as uncharacterized. Lineage: Eukaryota; Metazoa; Chordata; Mammalia; Carnivora; Felidae. The record is from RefSeq and is a predicted model, not a curated record. The transcript is spliced from 3 exons.